Molecule: long non-coding RNA, 4551 nt
Filed under: Panax ginseng (ginseng)
Lineage: Eukaryota; Viridiplantae; Streptophyta; Magnoliopsida; Apiales; Araliaceae
Description: long non-coding RNA (PGIN_LNC000393)
Source: RNAcentral
UGGUGGCUCAGCUAAUUUAUAUCUUUAGUGGGACGUGUGACCAAGCGUGGUCUAUAUAUUCAUGAAAGGCAUUUCAGAAUAUAUGGGUUUGGUUAGGUUGUCACUCGCCUCUGCUAUCAUGCUCUGCUUAGAAACAUGGUAGUUAUAGCAUUGGUAUUGUUCACUGGAUGUUUAAAGGAUGCUGAAAUUGCUGUGGAUGCACUCUCCAAUUGGUAAGGAAUGCAAACAUUGUUUAAAUUGAUCAAUUUCACAGGAAGCAGAAUCAAGUCACAUGCUAAGUAAGGGAGGUCAUUAUUGGAGUAAGAGGAUAUCAUUUUUAUGGUAGAAAGAAUAACCUGUAUACGCGGACUACCCGAUACAUGGUGAAAUUCUUCUAUUAUUCCAUUCUUUAUUAUUCUGUUGGAACAUCCUGUCGGUGCUAAUUUCGCCUGACCUAGUUCCGUUAUUAUUAUUCUGUUGGAAUAUCCUGUCUAUGUGUUUUACACCGGACCUGGUUCCGUCUUUAUUCUUCUGUUGGAAUAUCCUGUCUGUGUGUUUUACACCGGACCUAGUUCCGUCUUUAUUAUUCUGUUAGAAUAACCUGUAUACGUGGAUUACCGUAUACCUGGUGAUUUCUGUUGUUAUUCCAUUAUUUAUUAUUCUGUUGGAACAUCCUGUCGGUGUGAAUUUCACCUGACCUGGUUCCAUUAUUUAUUAUUCUGUUGAAAUAACUUGUCUAUGUGGGUUAUUGAAUUAUUAGGUCAUUGUCAAUGUUCUCAUGUUUAUAUUAUGUUGAAAGUCAUCUGUGGCCUGUAGUACAUAGAUGGACUUGGUAUGAUUAUGACCACGUUUAUUCGGUAUAAUCAUGACCGUAAUGUGACGAAUGAUGUGGUAAAAAUCCUCAUUUGCCAUAGUGCAUUGAUGGACAUUUUUUGGUAUGAUUAUGGCUAUGGAUUCUCUUCGGCCAAGGGUACAAAGAUGAAUUGUUUUAUAGCAUGAUCAGAACCGUUGAUGAAAACACGAUUAUCUUUGGCCCGUAUAGCAUGGAUAAUUCGUAGUCGUGAUACUAAAGAAUAUCCUUGGCCUGUAGUGCAGGGAUGAUUUAAUGAUGUGGAUUAAUUAUUGAACUGAGUCCCAGCGAUGAAAUAUUAAUUCAUAGAUGUGAUAGUAAUGAAUAUCCUUGGCCGUAGGGCAUGGAUAAUUCAUGGAUGUUAUAUUAACGAAUAUCCUUGGCCGUAGUGCAGGGGUGAUUCGAUGAUGUGAAUUAUUUAUUAAGUUGAGUCUCAGCAUUGUUGGUUUUACAGUUGUAUACCUUUGGCUGUAGUACAAAGAUGAAUUUAAUUAGUAUGAUUAUUAGCGGGAAUUGUGAUUUGGUAUAACCAUGAUUUUUGAUAUUUCAGUUGAAGAUAGGUGAUUAAAAUUAUCUUCGUCCUGGGUACGAAAUGGAAUUUAGAAUCACAAUUAUGAUUAUGAGUUAUUCAUACAGUUGUGGACAAGAAUUGUUGAUUGAUGUUACAGGGAUAAAAUAAUAUCGGUGGACUUUUAACAUAGAGAAGAUAAUGGAUCUGACGGUCUAUUUGACUCUUCUAAUGGAUUGCUCGUUCCGCUGCAACUAUGGUUGAAAUUAAAGUUUUAUCAUCUACCAUAUGUUAUAAAUCUCUGAUUUAUUAUUAAUGAAAGCUAUUGAUAAUGUAGUUAUCUUUAGUCAUGAUAUUCUUUACUGAGCUUGUUGUGCUCACCCUUUUGCUUCACAAUUCCUUCUAGGUAAUAAGAGUGUAGCUGGGUCGAGCGGGGAUAACAAGGAAAAGGAGUGACGGUCCAGAUGAUAGCAUUAGUAGUUCUCACUAUUCUGAUUAAGUAGUGUGAUAAUAAAUGUAACGAGGACUCUAUUUGAGAAUGGAUAUUGUCUAGAAGGCAAUAUUCCUGUUUAAAAUCGCAGUUAUGUUUUGUCGUAUUUUACACGACAGUUGUAUAAUAAAGUUUUUUUAUAUGUAUUUAUACCAUGUAUUUGGCGACUCAAAAUGGGUGAUGAAUACCUAAUUUUGGGGGCGUCACAUUUGGCAUCAGAGCUUAGGGAUAUGGUCGCUGGCAGAGAUAAAAGUCUAGAACUAGGAGGGGAGAGAUGAGUUAUAUACUUCGCUAGUGUGUGACUUACCUAAGCUGAAAUUAUUUACUUGAUAAGUUGACAAUUUGUGAUAUGUCAAUUAACCUUUGUUUUGAAGGUAUAUUUUAGAAUGAUAUCUGAAAUACAGGAGAUGAGCAAUAGGGAAAAUUAUGAUACAGAGGAUAUAACCAGGAAGGUACAAUCCAAAAAGAAAGCAAGGUAUUCUCAUCUCUUCGAAUUACCAGGUACGUAAAUUUCGAGGGCGAAAUUCCAUAAGGAGGGGAGAUUGUGAGACCCCGAAUUUUUAUGAAAUAAAAAUUAUUCAAUUUUCUAUUUUUAUGAAUAAUUAAAUUGAUAAAGGUUUAAAUUUAAAGGUAUAUUUGAAAAUUUUUAUUUAUUUAUUUAUUUUUUCUCUUAGGUAUGUUCAUAAAGAUUUUAUAUUAAAAUAUCAAAUCACAUGGGUUAUAAUUUGCGUAAUUUGCGUACAAGUCUCUAUAACCUCUUUCAAUCAACUGUUAUCAAAGUAGCAUGUAAGAAAAGAGGAGACAAACGCAUGGGGGGAAAAAGGAAAUAAAAAGAAGAAGAAUGAUGGGAGUCCGGCAUUCAUUCAUGGAUAUUUAUUCUCUAGCAUGGCAAGACUCUUUUUGAUUCUCUCUCUCUUUCUGUUCCUCUAAAUUGCAAUUUCAGAAAUUCUUGGUUUCCAUAUCCUUAUUGUUCUCGAUUCUGUUCACCACCAACAUAAUCUAAACGCUGCAACGAGCUGUUGACAACUUCCUAGCUGUUACCAAAGAGUCGGUGAAAACGAUCACUUAUGAAUCUUUGAACAAUAUCGUAAGGCUUAUAAAUGGAGUGUCAAGGCUCUUGUUGACCAUUAUGCUGGGGAAGGCUUCUGUACUCGAAGGGUUGCAUGGUUGGAAACUCAGACCAACUUUUCGUGAACGUCGGCUUCCACGCUGGAUGGAGAAAUGGCUGGCGGUUGCCAUAGUUUUACUUGGAGACUAUUGAAAUCACCUGGUGUAUCUCAAAGAAGGCAAACUAAACAGCGAACUCCCGCACCUAGUAAUUCUUGCACAUCAUCUUUCGUGGCCGUUGCCGAUGAUAUCGCCCCAAUCACCGGAAUAUAAGAUUUUUACAGAAUUCAUGGUGAAGUCCCGCCGGUGAACACUCUGUCAUAGCCGGUUUGUUUUCUUUGGAGUCAUGGUAGGGAUGGGUUUUGUUAUAAACUAUUCCUUUCUCAUGGUUGGUUUUGACCUGCUGUAUUCUGCUUCAUCAUUUCAAGCAACGAAGUUGGACCAUGAAGUUCUAGCCAAAACUAGGAACGCAUUGUUCUUCCGUUGUUGGCCAGUGCAUGGAUUACGACCGGGUCUGACCCAAGACGAGUUCGACGAGUUAAACAGAUUCAUCUCCGAGUUCUACACGUACCAACUCUUUCCACUCCCGCGACUCCUCCAUCAGGUACUCCGGCUAACGGAAACUGGUUCAAUUCCAUUAAAAAUAGCUGACAUAUAGAUACUAGAAGUUCUAGACAUUCGGAACAAUACACUCUCUGGCGGAGUCCCUCUAGCUUUAAAAAGACUCAAUGAAGGAUUCCAGUAUGCAGACAACCGAGGUUUAUGUGGAGUUGAGUUUUCUUCCGUGAAAGAUUGCAAAGCUUCUGAUUAUUUUGUAAACCCGAAGAGGCCUGAACCAUUUGGGCCAGGCUUAAAUGGCCGUGCUUCAAAAGAUAUCUCUGAGUCUGCUAAUAUCAAACCAGAUUGCACGCAGAAUCAUUGCUCAAACUUUCAUAUUUACAUGUACCUGCAAGACUGAACAAGGGGCCCCAACACCACAGUAGUCCCCAUCUCUGGAAUCCAUGGUAAGGCUUGGACCUCCUUCAGCUUUGGGACUGUAUAUUGCACUGACGAUCCAAUCACUGAAGGACUGGAAGAGAGUUUGGCCAAAUCGGACGAGCUCAGGGCAUUUUUGUGAUCUCAUCGUUGGAUGGGUCAAUGGCACAAGUGUUGCUAUCACUUGUGGGUACAAAUGAGGAGUACCGUGGGAGCACUGGUCCUCAACUUGUCCUGGUGGUUCAUAGUGGUGGCUCAGCUAAUUUAUAUCUUUAGUGGGACGUGUGACCAAGCGUGGUCUAUAUAUUCAUGAAAGGCAUUUCAGAAUAUAUGGGUUUGGUUAGGUUGUCCCUCGCCUCUGCUAUCAUGCUCUGCUUAGAAACAUGGUAGUUAUAGCAUUGGUAUUGUUCACUAGAUAUUUAAAGGAUGCUGAAAUUGCUGUGGAUGCACUCUCCAAUUGGUAAGGAAUGCAAAUAUUGUUUAAAUUGAUCAAUUUCACAUGCUAAGUAAGGGAGGUCAUUAUUGGAGUAAGAGGAUAUCAUUUUUAUGGUAGAAAGAAUAACCUGUAUACGCGGACUACCCGAUACAUGGUGAAAUUCUUCUAUUAUUCCAUUCUUUAUUAUUCUGUUGGAACAUCCUGUC